UUCUAAGUUAAGAGGUACUUUCGAUGGCAAGGGCAAAAAAGUACCUUUUUUUUAUUCUAAUUUCCUAAUUAACCUAUUUAUUACUUAAAACUAAAUGUCUUCUACAUGCUCACUUAAAUUUAUAACAGAAAUGUACACAGUUUAGUCAUAACAAGUUCUAAUACAAGAAAAACGUCUCUCCCCUGGGCUGUCCCAAACCCGAUUUUAUUUGUAAACCAGUUAUUAUGAAUGCAUUUAAAUUAAAUAAUUACUUCAUCAUCGUUAAUUUUAUACAGAACAAUAACUUAGGAACACUGUCUUAUAAGUCAAAUUACAUAAAUUCAAAUUUUUCAUAAAUAAUAUCAACGCCGAAAUUUGUCCUCCGUAUUUCUUGUCUCGUCCCCUGGCUUUUUGUUUCCGUUUAAAAGUCAGUAUUGUUUUACUAUUUUGUGGAAGUUAUGUCCUUUAGUGCAUAGGAUGUAACGUGAAGCUAUCGGCAAGCAGCGAUUAAGCCGACUGCGAAGUCAUUUUAACCGCCAUUUCAGUCACGCCGUUCGCUGGGUGUAGAAGUGUUGAGUGAAUGCAGUCUUUCCUCUGAAAAAAUGGCAUCUAGAAAGCUAAAGCCCUUGAGAAAACCUGCCCGAAUAUAAAAAUUUUCACCGUAGAUACACCGUAGACAUACUAUCGGAAAAAGCAGCAACAUUAGGUUCUACUGAAGGUAUAAAGACUUUUUCAGGCACAGUAAAGGUUCACCAAGUUACCGGUUGCGUAUUUCUACCUAAUUGCCUGACAUUAUAAAAAGUUUGAGAUGCUUCUGUGACUCCAGAGUUGUCAUUAUUUUGAAUUGGGUACCUACUUUGGAUUAUCCACAAAUACAUGUUAAAGUCACUGUUUCUGUGAAGGAAACUACGCAACAUCU
Molecule: long non-coding RNA, 898 nt
Organism: Ostrinia furnacalis (Asian corn borer)
Lineage: Eukaryota; Metazoa; Arthropoda; Insecta; Lepidoptera; Crambidae
Exons: 2
Source: RefSeq, a predicted model, not a curated record